RNAcentral lists this ribosomal RNA (425 nucleotides) under uncultured bacterium. RNAcentral describes it as "partial 16S ribosomal RNA". It matches the Rfam family "Bacterial small subunit ribosomal RNA", at positions 354 to 796 of the family's 1533-position model. The record is from RNAcentral.
GUGGGGAAUAUUGGACAAUGGGCGAAAGCCUGAUCCAGCCAUGCCGCGCGAGUGAUGAAGGCCUUAGGGUUGUAAAGCUCUUUCAGUAGGGAAGAUAAUGACGGUACCUACAGAAGAAGCCCCGGCUAACUUCGUGCCAGCAGCCGCGGUAAUACGAAGGGGGCUAGCGUUGUUCGGAUUUACUGGGCGUAAAGCGCACGUAGGCGGAUUGGUCAGUUAGAGGUGAAAUCCUGGAGCUCAACUCCAGAACUGCCUUUAAUACUGCCAGUCUAGAGUCCAGAAGAGGUGAGUGGAACUCCUAGUGUAGAGGUGGAAUUCGUAGAUAUUAGGAAGAACACCAGUGGCGAAGGCGGCUCACUGGUCUGGUACUGACGCUGAGGUGCGAAAGCGUGGGGAGCAAACAGGAUUAGAAACCCUUGUAGUCC